RNAcentral lists this ribosomal RNA (253 nucleotides) under uncultured bacterium. RNAcentral describes it as "partial 16S ribosomal RNA". It matches the Rfam family "Bacterial small subunit ribosomal RNA", at positions 524 to 776 of the family's 1533-position model. The record is from RNAcentral.
UACAGAGGUCUCAAGCGUUGUUCGGAUUCAUUGGGCGUAAAGGGUGCGUAGGCGGCGGGGUAAGUCGGAUGUGAAAUCCCAGGGCUCAACCCUGGAACUGCAUUCGAUACUGCCUUGCUAGAGUACUGGAGAGGAGACUGGAAUUUACGGUGUAGCAGUGAAAUGCGUAGAUAUCGUAAGGAAGACCAGUGGCGAAGGCGAGUCUCUGGACAGUUACUGACACUGAGGAGCGAAAGCCAGGGGAGCAAACGGG